Molecule: ribosomal RNA, 459 nt
Filed under: Triticum aestivum (bread wheat)
Lineage: Eukaryota; Viridiplantae; Streptophyta; Magnoliopsida; Poales; Poaceae
Description: partial small subunit ribosomal RNA
Source: RNAcentral
AUGCCCAUGUCCUUCAUGAUAUUUGAGCUUGUGCAUUUCCUUAGCAAAUUUGUUGUGAUCUUUCUCGAUGGCAUAUUCAUACAUCAUGAUCUUCUUGCCUACCAUCAAUUACAUGAUAACUUAUUCAUAUCGAGCAUCCAUUGCCAUAUUCAUGCUAUUGAUAAACCGUCUCACUAUGACAUCAUUUUGCACCGUGGUUGCAUUGAUCAUAUUCACAACACAUUUGUGUGCACAAUGAAUGCUUUUGCUCCCAUGAUCGCUUUGCAUAUCAUUCUAUAUCAUCUUGAUAAGCUUCUUGAGCUUUGCCAUGAACCAUCUUGCUGCACAGACUCAUUCUUACUUAAUGGACACUUUGUAUGCGCUAACCAUUGUAUUUCCGAGUGUCGUUUGUGUUUGUUCUUUUUGCACAUAUUCUCCUCCGGCGACACCUUGGAGUACUUGGAGUGCGCCAUGACUUAA